This 77-nucleotide transfer RNA is filed under the name bacterium TMED88. RNAcentral describes it as "tRNA-Met". It matches the Rfam family "tRNA". Rfam says of the family: Transfer RNA (tRNA) molecules are approximately 80 nucleotides in length. Their secondary structure includes four short double-helical elements and three loops (D, anti-codon, and T loops). The record is from RNAcentral. RNAcentral also lists the same sequence under 2 other names.
UGCGGGGUAGAGCAGCCAGGUAGCUCGUCGGGCUCAUAACCCGGAGGUCGCAGGUUCGAAUCCUGCCCCCGCUACCA